This 460-nucleotide ribosomal RNA is filed under the name uncultured Methylomirabilota bacterium. Its description in RNAcentral is "bacterial SSU rRNA". It matches the Rfam family "Bacterial small subunit ribosomal RNA", at positions 977 to 1434 of the family's 1533-position model. Lineage: Bacteria; Methylomirabilota (SeqCode). The record is from RNAcentral.
GGGCUUGACAUCCCACGAACCUGCCUGAAAGGGCGGGGUGCCCGCAAGGGAGCGUGGAGACAGGUGGUGCAUGGCUGUCGUCAGCUCGUGUCGUGAGAUGUUGGGUUAAGUCCCGCAACGAGCGCAACCCUCACCCCUAGUUGCCACCGGGUAAUGCCGAGCACUCGAGGGGAACUGCCAGCGUCAAGCUGGAGGAAGGCGGGGAUGACGCCAAGUCAUCAUGCCCCUUACGUCCUGGGCUACACACGUGCUACAAUGGCCAGUACAAAGGGAUGCAAGACCGCGAGGUGGAGCUAAUCCCAAAAAGCUGGUCUAAGUUCAGAUUGCAGUCUGCAACUCGACUGCAUGAAGGAGGAAUCGCUAGUAAUCGCGCAUCAGCCCGGCGCGGUGAAUACGUUCCCGGGCCUUGUACAUACCGCCCGUCACACCACGAAAGCUUACUGUACUCGAAGUCGCUGAG